RNAcentral lists this ribosomal RNA (459 nucleotides) under uncultured bacterium. RNAcentral describes it as "partial 16S ribosomal RNA". It matches the Rfam family "Bacterial small subunit ribosomal RNA", at positions 338 to 795 of the family's 1533-position model. The record is from RNAcentral.
CCUACGGGAGGCUGCAGUGAGGAAUAUUGGUCAAUGGGCGCGAGCCUGAACCAGCCAAGUAGCGUGAAGGAUGACUGCCCUACGGGUUGUAAACUUCUUUUGUGCGGGAGCAAUAAUGGUCACGUGUGGCCAGACGAGAGUACCGUACGAAUAAGCAUCGGCUAACUCCGUGCCAGCAGCCGCGGUAAUACGGGGGAUGCAAGCGUUAUCCGGAUUUAUUGGGUUUAAAGGGUGCGCAGGCGGAUUUUUAAGUCAGCGGUCAAAUCGUGGGGCUCAACCCCAUCCAGCCGUUGAAACUGGGGAUCUAGAGUGUGCGAGAGGUAUGCGGAAUGCGUGGUGUAGCGGUGAAAUGCAUAGAUAUCACGCAGAACCCCGAUUGCGAAGGCAGCAUACCGGUGCACAACUGACGCUCAGGCACGAAAGCGUGGGUAUCGAACAGGAUUAGAUACCCUUGUAGUC